Sander lucioperca (pikeperch) is the source of this 197-nucleotide long non-coding RNA. RefSeq lists it as uncharacterized. NCBI's taxonomy places the organism in Eukaryota, Metazoa, Chordata, Actinopteri, Perciformes, Percidae. The record is from RefSeq and is a predicted model, not a curated record. The transcript has 4 exons.
GCUAGCCCCAUGGAUACAUCGAAGUUGGCCACAGAGACUGAGCCUUCCCUCGGUAAUGUUUUAACCACCAUAAGGAACCUGGACAACAAGAUGAAUCCAUUCCACAAGCAAGAAAGCAUUUCAGGACGGAGCGUGUGUCUGGAAGCCCUGUCCGUCAGCAGAUGUUACUUGCCUCCACCACUUGCAUAUGAGUUAAC